This 445-nucleotide ribosomal RNA is filed under the name uncultured bacterium. RNAcentral's name for it is "bacterial SSU rRNA". It matches the Rfam family "Bacterial small subunit ribosomal RNA", at positions 30 to 514 of the family's 1533-position model. The record is from RNAcentral.
UGAACGCUAGCGGUAUGCUUAACACAUGCAAGUCGUACGGGAGUUUUUAACUCAAGUGGCGGACGGGUGAGUAACACGUGAGAAUUUACCUUUAGGAGGGAGAUAACAAUUGGAAACGAUUGCUAAUACCCCAUAUGCUUUUUUAAGUGAAACGGAUUUAUUCGCCUAAAGAAAAGCUCGCGGCUGAUUAGCUAGUUGGUAAGGUAAUGGCCUACCAAGGCGACGAUCAGUAGCUGGUUUGAGAGGAUGAUCAGCCACACUGGGACUGAGACACGGCCCAGACUCCUACGGGAGGCAGCAGUAGGGAAUUUUCCGCAAUGGGCGAAAGCCUGACGGAGCAAUACCGCGUGAGGGAUGACGGCCUGUGGGUUGUAAACCUCUUUUCUCAAGGAAGAAGUUCUGACGGUACUUGAGGAAUAAGCAUCGGCUAACUCUGUGCCAGCAG